UCUAUUGAAUGUUGAGGUUUUUGGGUACCUGAAAGAAAAUGGUUUGCUUCAUCCAUUAGCAAAUUUGCAAGAGGAAGCCAAUGUCUUGAAACACGGAGGACAGCUGUGUGGGUGACAUUAAAAGCGAGCAUCAGGAUCCAGUGCUGCAGACUAUUGUGUCUCCGAAGCUGCCGGACUCAAUGUUUGACUUCGGUGCACAGGGCAGCUACUCUAUUGAAUAUUGAGGUUUUUGGGUACCUGAAAGAAAAUGGUUUGCUUCUUCCAUUGGCAAAGUUGCAAGAGGAUGGCACUGUCUUCAAACAAUCUUGGAUGUUCUAGAUGGCUCUGUGGUGGGCAAUAAAAGCAAGCAUCAGGAUCCAGUGCUGCAGACUACAGAGUUUCGGAUGCUGCUGGACAAGAUGAGUAUUGAGUUCAGUGCACAGGUCAGAGUACCCCUAGAUUGACGGAGCACCCCUGGAUGGACACAGCGUGGACAGAGCACCCCUAGCACUUUGAUGGACAACAGUGCAGUUCCCUGGAUAGACAACACAGCACGGACACAUCCGCUCACUACAAGCUUCACAGCCAGAUUGAAAUGGCGCCGAUCACCGGGGGCCUUAUAUAGAUUCCAUAACCCGCGAGAAUACAACAGCAGGAGGAUGACGUUUGUCCUCGUUUUGAGACCUGGAGGGAAAACCGAAGCUGGACGCGGAUCCUGGCCUGGAUCAGGAAGUUUGGGUGGGUCCGGUUCUCGGGGAACCGGACCCACUCAUCUCUAAAUAUUAUCUGCAAUAUAUUUUCUUAACAUGUGAAAAGUGGGGUGGUUGUUAUUAUCAUCCUUUUUCUCCGGCAGGGUACACAGGUUAUCAAAAGGAUAACAAUGAGAUAUGAUGGCGCGACAGCGGAUUUGCACAAA
This is a long non-coding RNA of Pseudophryne corroboree (corroboree frog), 895 nucleotides long. RefSeq lists it as uncharacterized. The transcript is spliced from 3 exons. The record is from RefSeq and is a predicted model, not a curated record. Lineage: Eukaryota; Metazoa; Chordata; Amphibia; Anura; Myobatrachidae.